CCUACGUGAGGCUGCAGUGGGGAAUAUUGCACAAUGGGGGAAACCCUGAUGCAGCGACGCCGCGUGAGUGAAGAAGUAAUUCGUUAUGUAAAGCUCUAUCAGCAGGGAAGAAAAUGACGGUACCUGAGUAAGAAGCCCCGGCUAACUACGUGCCAGCAGCCGCGGUAAUACGUAGGGGGCAAGCGUUAUCCGGAUUUACUGGGUGUAAAGGGAGCGUAGACGGCAGUGCAAGUCUGGAGUGAAAGGCGGGGGCUCAACCCCCGGACUGCUCUGGAAACUGUACGGCUGGAGUGCAGGAGAGGUAAGUGGAAUGCCUAGUGUAGCGGUGAAAUGCGUAGAUAUUAGGAGGAACACCAGUGGCGAAGGCGGCUUACUGGACUGUAACUGACGUUGAGGCUCGAAAGCGUGGGGAGCAAACAGGAUUAGAUACCCGGGUAGUC
This 440-nucleotide ribosomal RNA is filed under the name uncultured bacterium. Its description in RNAcentral is "partial 16S ribosomal RNA". It matches the Rfam family "Bacterial small subunit ribosomal RNA", at positions 338 to 795 of the family's 1533-position model. The record is from RNAcentral.